RNAcentral lists this ribosomal RNA (2712 nucleotides) under Pseudomonas aeruginosa. RNAcentral describes it as "bacterial LSU rRNA". It matches the Rfam family "Bacterial large subunit ribosomal RNA". The record is from RNAcentral. Lineage: Bacteria; Pseudomonadati; Pseudomonadota; Gammaproteobacteria; Pseudomonadales; Pseudomonadaceae.
GUUAUAUGGUCAAGUGAAGAAGCGCAUACGGUGGAUGCCUUGGCAGUCAGAGGCGAUGAAAGACGUGGUAGCCUGCGAAAAGCUUCGGGGAGUCGGCAAACAGACUUUGAUCCGGAGAUCUCUGAAUGGGGGAACCCACCUAGGAUAACCUAGGUAUCUUGUACUGAAUCCAUAGGUGCAAGAGGCGAACCAGGGGAACUGAAACAUCUAAGUACCCUGAGGAAAAGAAAUCAACCGAGAUUCCCUUAGUAGUGGCGAGCGAACGGGGAUUAGCCCUUAAGCUUCAUUGAUUUUAGCGGAACGCUCUGGAAAGUGCGGCCAUAGUGGGUGAUAGCCCCGUACGCGAAAGGAUCUUUGAAGUGAAAUCGAGUAGGACGGAGCACGAGAAACUUUGUCUGAACAUGGGGGGACCAUCCUCCAAGGCUAAAUACUACUGACUGACCGAUAGUGAACCAGUACCGUGAGGGAAAGGCGAAAAGAACCCCGGAGAGGGGAGUGAAAUAGAACCUGAAACCGUAUGCGUACAAGCAGUGGGAGCCUACUUGUUAGGUGACUGCGUACCUUUUGUAUAAUGGGUCAGCGACUUAUAUUCAGUGGCAAGCUUAACCGUAUAGGGUAGGCGUAGCGAAAGCGAGUCUUAAUAGGGCGUUUAGUCGCUGGGUAUAGACCCGAAACCGGGCGAUCUAUCCAUGAGCAGGUUGAAGGUUAGGUAACACUGACUGGAGGACCGAACCCACUCCCGUUGAAAAGGUAGGGGAUGACUUGUGGAUCGGAGUGAAAGGCUAAUCAAGCUCGGAGAUAGCUGGUUCUCCUCGAAAGCUAUUUAGGUAGCGCCUCAUGUAUCACUCUGGGGGGUAGAGCACUGUUUCGGCUAGGGGGUCAUCCCGACUUACCAAACCGAUGCAAACUCCGAAUACCCAGAAGUGCCGAGCAUGGGAGACACACGGCGGGUGCUAACGUCCGUCGUGAAAAGGGAAACAACCCAGACCGCCAGCUAAGGUCCCAAAGUUGUGGUUAAGUGGUAAACGAUGUGGGAAGGCUUAGACAGCUAGGAGGUUGGCUUAGAAGCAGCCAUCCUUUAAAGAAAGCGUAAUAGCUCACUAGUCGAGUCGGCCUGCGCGGAAGAUGUAACGGGGCUCAAACCACACACCGAAGCUGCGGGUGUCACGUAAGUGACGCGGUAGAGGAGCGUUCUGUAAGCCUGUGAAGGUGAGUUGAGAAGCUUGCUGGAGGUAUCAGAAGUGCGAAUGCUGACAUGAGUAACGACAAUGGGUGUGAAAAACACCCACGCCGAAAGACCAAGGGUUCCUGCGCAACGUUAAUCGACGCAGGGUUAGUCGGUUCCUAAGGCGAGGCUGAAAAGCGUAGUCGAUGGGAAACAGGUUAAUAUUCCUGUACUUCUGGUUACUGCGAUGGAGGGACGGAGAAGGCUAGGCCAGCUUGGCGUUGGUUGUCCAAGUUUAAGGUGGUAGGCUGAAAUCUUAGGUAAAUCCGGGGUUUCAAGGCCGAGAGCUGAUGACGAGUCGUCUUUUAGAUGACGAAGUGGUUGAUGCCAUGCUUCCAAGAAAAGCUUCUAAGCUUCAGGUAACCAGGAACCGUACCCCAAACCGACACAGGUGGUCGGGUAGAGAAUACCAAGGCGCUUGAGAGAACUCGGGUGAAGGAACUAGGCAAAAUGGCACCGUAACUUCGGGAGAAGGUGCGCCGGCUAGGGUGAAGGAUUUACUCCGUAAGCUCUGGCUGGUCGAAGAUACCAGGCCGCUGCGACUGUUUAUUAAAAACACAGCACUCUGCAAACACGAAAGUGGACGUAUAGGGUGUGACGCCUGCCCGGUGCCGGAAGGUUAAUUGAUGGGGUUAGCGCAAGCGAAGCUCUUGAUCGAAGCCCCGGUAAACGGCGGCCGUAACUAUAACGGUCCUAAGGUAGCGAAAUUCCUUGUCGGGUAAGUUCCGACCUGCACGAAUGGCGUAACGAUGGCGGCGCUGUCUCCACCCGAGACUCAGUGAAAUUGAAAUCGCUGUGAAGAUGCAGUGUAUCCGCGGCUAGACGGAAAGACCCCGUGAACCUUUACUGUAGCUUUGCACUGGACUUUGAGCCUGCUUGUGUAGGAUAGGUGGGAGGCUUUGAAGCGUGGACGCCAGUUCGCGUGGAGCCAUCCUUGAAAUACCACCCUGGCAUGCUUGAGGUUCUAACUCUGGUCCGUGAUCCGGAUCGAGGACAGUGUAUGGUGGGCAGUUUGACUGGGGCGGUCUCCUCCUAAAGAGUAACGGAGGAGUACGAAGGUGCGCUCAGACCGGUCGGAAAUCGGUCGCAGAGUAUAAAGGCAAAAGCGCGCUUGACUGCGAGACAGACACGUCGAGCAGGUACGAAAGUAGGUCUUAGUGAUCCGGUGGUUCUGUAUGGAAGGGCCAUCGCUCAACGGAUAAAAGGUACUCCGGGGAUAACAGGCUGAUACCGCCCAAGAGUUCAUAUCGACGGCGGUGUUUGGCACCUCGAUGUCGGCUCAUCACAUCCUGGGGCUGAAGCCGGUCCCAAGGGUAUGGCUGUUCGCCAUUUAAAGUGGUACGCGAGCUGGGUUUAGAACGUCGUGAGACAGUUCGGUCCCUAUCUGCCGUGGACGUUUGAGAUUUGAGAGGGGCUGCUCCUAGUACGAGAGGACCGGAGUGGACGAACCUCUGGUGUUCCGGUUGUCACGCCAGUGGCAUUGCCGA